UCGGGAGUGGCGUAAUGGUAGCGCGUCACACUUUGGAUGUGAAGGUUGGGGUUCGACUCCCUGCUCCCGAGCCA
RNAcentral lists this transfer RNA (74 nucleotides) under Chloroflexota bacterium. RNAcentral's name for it is "tRNA-Gln". It matches the Rfam family "tRNA". Rfam says of the family: Transfer RNA (tRNA) molecules are approximately 80 nucleotides in length. Their secondary structure includes four short double-helical elements and three loops (D, anti-codon, and T loops). Lineage: Bacteria; Bacillati; Chloroflexota. The record is from RNAcentral.